Molecule: ribosomal RNA, 498 nt
Filed under: uncultured bacterium
Lineage: Bacteria
Description: partial 16S ribosomal RNA
Rfam family: Bacterial small subunit ribosomal RNA
Source: RNAcentral
GACGAACGCUGGCGGCGUGCCUAAUACAUGCAAGUCGAACGAGAGCGACCGGUGCUUGCACUGGUCAAUCUAGUGGCGAACGGGUGAGUAACACGUGGGUAACCUGCCCAUCAGAGGGGGAUAACAUUCGGAAACGGAUGCUAAAACCGCAUAGGUCUUCGAACCGCAUGGUUUGAAGAGGAAAAGAGGCGCAAGCUUCUGCUGAUGGAUGGACCCGCGGUGCAUUAGCUAGUUGGUGAGGUAACGGCUCACCAAGGCCGUGAUGCAUAGCCGACCUGAGAGGGUGAUCGGCCACAUUGGGACUGAGACACGGCCCAAACUCCUACGGGAGGCAGCAGUAGGGAAUCUUCCGCAAUGGACGCAAGUCUGACGGAGCAAUGCCGCGUGAGUGAAGAAGGUUUUCGGAUCGUAAAACUCUGUUGUUAGAGAAGAAUAAGUGCUAGAGUAACUGUUAGCGCCUUGACGGUAUCUAACCAGAAAGCCACGGCUAACUACGUG